Triplophysa dalaica is the source of this 1265-nucleotide long non-coding RNA. RefSeq lists it as uncharacterized. The transcript is spliced from 6 exons. The record is from RefSeq and is a predicted model, not a curated record. NCBI's taxonomy places the organism in Eukaryota, Metazoa, Chordata, Actinopteri, Cypriniformes, Nemacheilidae.
ACUUUCAUCCUUCCAAGAACUGUCUUUCGUUUAUUCAAUUUUUUAUGUGUCUCUUUCUCUAAAGGAAGUGGGCUGUGGGGUAGAUAACCAUCAAAAAACACAGAGUGUCCUCUCUGUCAGCUACCAAGUGUGAACACACGUCUGCUCUGGGAAAAGAGAAAGAGAGCAGGAAAAAAAUUAUACAGGAAUAAACACUACAAAAAUAUACGCACCAGCGGCAUCAAACGGAAUUGUCACAUGUUCGAAAACGUCACUUAAAACGGCUGGACACAUCUGCCUGAUCCAGUGAAGACAAAUGGGUCUCAAGCUUCUCACAAGAGACCACAAGCUCAGUCAUGUCAGCUGCCUCCUUUCCACUCUCUCAGGAUGACAGAUACAUCAGGUUUGGGUUCAGCUUCAGGGCCUCAGGAGAGAGAGGGAGCUGCUCUCUGCCCGGUCCAGUUUUGAGAGCCUGCCGUUCCGCUGGGAGCUCCGGCUGGUGGCUGUGCCCUGCGCUCUUGCCAUGCGAGAAGCAGUCAACAUAGACCUCUUUGAACCUCUCAAACUGAAGCAUCAUCUAAACGUUUCCAUGAGGCCCCUGCGGUCCGUCCAACGCUUCCAAUGGCCGCGGCCCUACCGCUUCCAGCACUGGGGGAUUCGUGCGGUGAAGGGCCGAUGGCCGAGGGGGGCUCACCAGUCGCCGAUAAAGCGUAAUGCAGCGCAUAUGGAGCUUUGUUGAGCGGAGCCGGCGACAGAGAAUGAGCAGAAGUCCCAGCGGUGUUGAUUUGUACUGUGGCAGGGACCCUCGUGCCUAAUAAGACCUCCAUCUCUACAUAGUGUCUGACACCACCCUAAUACAGCAUAUGGAAAUGAGGCGUGCAUAUGGCUGCAGCUAGAGGACCGAGCAUUAUAAAAGCGGCGUUAUUGACCUCGCUUCCUUUGAGAGCAGCGCGGCACAGCGCAGACUCCAUUCAGAGCAGGGACACUCGCAGAGCAUCGACGGCAAAAGGACGGGAUUGGGAGAUAAUGCACAUCAGCAAAUAGAACAUGACCGCUGUGUCCAGCGUCAACGCCGCCCAUUGUCUGCACUGAGAACGGAUGAUAGUGACUGGCGAGGAUAACAAAGCCGGGCCACAAUGGACCAGGCAUAUUAAGACGGAUCCCAGACCACUGGCUAGCAGUAUGGAAGAAGAAAAGACAGACAGAUAUAGUAAAGAAUAUAUACUGUACAAAAUAAAAUUUGAUUAUGUCCUCCUCCGUGUCAAACUUCCAUCAUUACAACCUUA